Molecule: unclassified non-coding RNA, 249 nt
Filed under: Microsphaeropsis sp.
Lineage: Eukaryota; Fungi; Ascomycota; Dothideomycetes; Pleosporales; Didymellaceae
Also listed under: 3 other names
Description: partial contains 5.8S ribosomal RNA, internal transcribed spacer 2, and large subunit ribosomal RNA
Source: RNAcentral
AACGCACAUUGCGCCCCUUGGUAUUCCAUGGGGCAUGCCUGUUCGAGCGUCAUUUGUACCUUCAAGCUUUGCUUGGUGUUGGGUGUUUGUCUCGCCUUUGCGUGUAGACUCGCCUUAAAACAAUUGGCAGCCGGCGUAUUGAUUUCGGAGCGCAGUACAUCUCGCGCUUUGCACUCAUAACGACGACGUCCAAAAGUACUUUUUUACACUCUUGACCUCGGAUCAGGUAGGGAUACCCGCUGAACUUAA